CUGAAAGGGCUGUUUACUAAACUGCUGGUGGUUAAAUCCAAAUGGUAGAAAUAUGAUGUGUCCGUAGCAGAGUUUUCCUGAUCAGCUCUUUGCCAUUCAGUUAUUUAUUUGCUACAAUUCAGUUUAGUGUAUAACCCUGUAGGUGAAUGCAUGAUACACGGAAUGUGAAUGUAUUUUUUAAAGUGUUUUGUAUUUUAAAUUUAUUGGAUUUCUCAAGUAAAAUAAGGAACGGUGUGUAUUUAACAAAACGUAGCUUGGAACUACAUUCUAUUUCUCUUAACCUAUUCUUUCUUUCCACAGACCAUCAACCAAUUGAGUUGGGAGCUGCUGUUUACUAGUAGAAGAUCCAUUUGUCACCUGCUGGGAAUCUCCCUUAAUAAAAUAAUUUGAAGACCAAA
Pelobates cultripes (western spadefoot toad) is the source of this 398-nucleotide non-coding RNA. The record is from the annotation of a GenBank genome assembly. NCBI's taxonomy places the organism in Eukaryota, Metazoa, Chordata, Amphibia, Anura, Pelobatidae.